AUUGCUUCUCUGCCUUUUGGCUUAGAUCAAGUGUAGUAUCUGUUGUUUUCAGUUUAAUAUCUGAUAUGUCCCCUACCUAGGGACCAUAUAUUAAAAGGAUUUUUGGAACAGGGAGAUGUAAGAAGCGCUUGCUCUGUCCACUCCACACAUUGGCCUGGUAUUGCAGUAUCUUCAGGACCGGUGCUCACUAC
Bombina bombina (fire-bellied toad) is the source of this 191-nucleotide small nuclear RNA. RefSeq annotates it as U2 spliceosomal RNA. The transcript has a single exon. Lineage: Eukaryota; Metazoa; Chordata; Amphibia; Anura; Bombinatoridae. The record is from RefSeq and is a predicted model, not a curated record.